UACGAAGGGGGCUAGCGUUACUCGGAUUGACUGGGCGUAAAGGGCGCGUAGGCGGUUUGUACAGUCAGACGUGAAAUUCCUGGGCUCAACCUGGGGGCUGCGUUUGAUACGUGCAGACUUGAGUUCGGAAGAGGGUCGUGGAAUUCCCAGUGUAGAGGUAAAAUUCGUAGAUAUUGGGAAGAACACCGGUGGCGAAGGCGGCGACCUGGUCCGAUACUGACGCUGAGGCGCGAAAGCGUGGGGAGCAAACAGG
RNAcentral lists this ribosomal RNA (253 nucleotides) under uncultured bacterium. RNAcentral's name for it is "partial 16S ribosomal RNA". It matches the Rfam family "Bacterial small subunit ribosomal RNA", at positions 524 to 776 of the family's 1533-position model. The record is from RNAcentral.